Molecule: long non-coding RNA, 1302 nt
Organism: Oncorhynchus nerka (sockeye salmon)
Lineage: Eukaryota; Metazoa; Chordata; Actinopteri; Salmoniformes; Salmonidae
Exons: 4
Source: RefSeq, a predicted model, not a curated record
UGUAAUGAUGUGGACGUGUUGUUGAGUUGAGUGUCUUUACCUCUAGGGCAACAUGUUAGGUAUAAUGGGUGUCACUAUAUUUAUAUCAUUUGUUUCGGUAGCCGUCGCUCUUGGGUCCUCUGGAGCCCCAUCAUCAACCUUGACAGUGACUCCAAUGAAGGCAACCACCAGGAAUACCCCAACAUUGUCUGUCACCAUCCCCACAGUGGCCCCUGCCAUGCCAACCAGUAGGACAAGUUCAUCAGUCAGUGAAGCACCUAAUACAGAUCCUACUGGUGACACUAGAGUCCCAAUGGAAUCAUCAACUUCAUCACCUGCAACUGAGCCUUCCCAAUACUCUCAGCCACUAACUCCAUCACAAUCAUCCAAUGGCAGCACCACCACACAAACCUCUACAGGUUUUACAGCUGACACUACUAUGAAUCAGACCCUAACUGGAAUAGUUGGUUAUGACUCAACAUCCUCAAUCUUCUCAUCAACUUUGUCGCCAAGCUCUGAUUUUACGACAGGGAACAUGAGCUCAAGCACAGCCUUAGAAAGUGAUGGGAGACAUGUCUUAUCAAGGAGUCCGGGCCUCGUAGCAGUCCUCUGCAUAUUCUGCAUCUGUCUGGGUCUUCUGCUGGCUGUUGGAAUUGCAAAGCUCAUUACUCCCAGAGGUUCAACAUUUCAGAGGCUUGAAGAUGUGCCAUUGGGCAAAAUAAAUGAAGAGUCUCCAUUUGCCCGUUACCCUGAAAAACAAUUCUGAAAGAAAACACAUCAUGAGAGAAGGUAUUCUAUUUGGGGUUCAGACAAUGUUGUUCAUGAGGACGUGUCACCCACCAUCAUGUUUAUGUUCCUGUUUUUGUUUGUUUAUUUUGUCUGGCUGCUGGAAAGUGACGUGUGUUUGAAGGAAGUCAGUAUAGGCACUAAAAGCAAUCCUGUGAUGUGGUAAAGAAUAUCUCCUCCCAGGUUGGUCAGCAGCAUACUGAAGUCGAUCGUUGGUACUGUUCAUUCACAGGUGGAUGGAUGCAUCAAGGAACUGAAUACAGAAGAUGCACAGACAAUGUUUGCGUUUACACAGGUAGCCCAAUUCUGAUCUUUUGACAAAUUUUUAGCGAAAGAUCUGAUUUGUCAAAAAUACCAAUUAUUGGCACAAUAUCAGAAUUGGUCUGCCUUUAUAAACACAGCCAAUGUGUCAGGUAUCACUAGAAAUAAAGCUAUGAAAAAAGCUAUAAUAAAGCCAAAUUCUCUGUUUCUUGAAAAGACUAUGACAAACAGGCCUAAUUUUUGUAUGGGUUGAAAUAAAUAAAUGAUUGCAUUGAA